Molecule: ribosomal RNA, 423 nt
Filed under: uncultured bacterium
Lineage: Bacteria
Description: bacterial SSU rRNA
Rfam family: Bacterial small subunit ribosomal RNA
Source: RNAcentral
UCGAGAAUCUUCGGCAAUGGACGCAAGUCUGACCGAGCGACGCCGCGUGUGGGAUGAAGGCCUUCGGGUUGUAAACCACUGUCAGAGGGGAUGAAGUAUACGAGAGUUAUCUCUUGUAUUUGACAGAGCCUCAGAGGAAGCACGGGCUAAGUUCGUGCCAGCAGCCGCGGUAAUACGAACUGUGCGAACGUUAUUCGGAAUCACUGGGCUUAAAGGGUGCGUAGGCGGUUAUCUAAGUCAGGUGUGAAAUCUCUCGGCUCAACCGGGAAACUGCGCUUGAAACUGGAUGACUGGAGUGAUGCAGGGGUGUGUGGAACUUCCGGUGGAGCGGUGAAAUGUGUAGAUAUCGGAAGGAACGCCAGCAGCGAAAGCGGCACACUGGGCAUUUUCUGACGCUGAGGCACGAAAGCUAGGGGAGUGAAC